Pteronotus mesoamericanus is the source of this 129-nucleotide small nucleolar RNA. RefSeq annotates it as small nucleolar RNA SNORA3/SNORA45 family. The record is from RefSeq and is a predicted model, not a curated record. The transcript has a single exon. NCBI's taxonomy places the organism in Eukaryota, Metazoa, Chordata, Mammalia, Chiroptera, Mormoopidae.
CCCGAGACUGGAGUCACAUCCUGACAGCGCUUGCCCCGGUGUGCUCGAGUUCUCGGACAGGAUCUGCUGGUCUUGACUCCCUGGCGAGGGCACUCAGUGCCCCUGGUGGUGCCCGGAUCAGAACCACAC